RNAcentral lists this non-coding RNA (26 nucleotides) under Homo sapiens (human). The record is from RNAcentral. Lineage: Eukaryota; Metazoa; Chordata; Mammalia; Primates; Hominidae.
UAAGGGGGCCCUAAGAUCUAGCCAAC